This 394-nucleotide ribosomal RNA is filed under the name uncultured bacterium. RNAcentral's name for it is "bacterial SSU rRNA". It matches the Rfam family "Bacterial small subunit ribosomal RNA", at positions 28 to 425 of the family's 1533-position model. The record is from RNAcentral.
GACGAACGCUGGCGGCGUGCUUAACACAUGCAAGUCGAGCGGUAAGGCCCUUUCGGGGGUACACGAGCGGCGAACGGGUGAGUAACACGUGGGUGACCUGCCCUCAGCUCUGGGAUAAGCCUGGGAAACUGGGUCUAAUACUGGAUAUGACUCCACGGUGCAUGUCGUGGGGUGGAAAGCCUUGUGCGGCUGAGGAUGGGGCCCGCGGCCUAUCAGCUUGUUGGUGGGGUGANGGCCUACCAAGGCGACGACGGGUAGCCGGCCUGAGAGGGCGACCGGCCACACUGGGACUGAGACACGGCCCAGACUCCUACGGGAGGCAGCAGUGGGGAAUCUUGCGCAAUGGGCGAAAGCCUGACGCAGCGACGCCGCGUGAGGGAUGACGGCCUGGUCG